CACUAAGCGGAGGAAAAGAAACUAACCAGGAUUCCCUUAGUAACGGCGAGUGAACAGGGAAAAGCCCAGCACCGAAGCCUGUGGUCGUUUGGCCCCUAGGCAAUGUGGUGUUCAGGUUAGCUCGCGAAGAUGCUGCUCCACCCUAAGUCCUAUAAUGAGUAAGGUUACUCGGACAUGGCCCAAUGACGGUGAAAGGCCCGUGGG
This 204-nucleotide ribosomal RNA is filed under the name Fasciola gigantica. RNAcentral describes it as "partial 28S ribosomal RNA". It matches the Rfam family "Eukaryotic large subunit ribosomal RNA", at positions 44 to 227 of the family's 3401-position model. The record is from RNAcentral. Lineage: Eukaryota; Metazoa; Platyhelminthes; Trematoda; Plagiorchiida; Fasciolidae.